UACAGAGGGUGCAAGCGUUGUUCGGAAUUAUUGGGCGUAAAGGGAGUGUAGGCGGUUGGGAAAGUCUUCUGUGAAAUCUACGGGCUCAGCCUGUAACGUGCAGAGGAAACUACUCGGCUUGAGUGUCGGAGAGGAUGGGGGAAUACCCGGUGUAGAGGUGAAAUUCGUAGAGAUCGGGUGGAACACCAGUGGCGAAGGCGCCUGUCUGGCUGACAACUGACGCUGAGACUCGAAAGCAUGGGGAGCAAACAGG
RNAcentral lists this ribosomal RNA (253 nucleotides) under uncultured bacterium. RNAcentral describes it as "partial 16S ribosomal RNA". It matches the Rfam family "Bacterial small subunit ribosomal RNA", at positions 524 to 776 of the family's 1533-position model. The record is from RNAcentral.